AGUUUUUUGUACACAUUUUAUUGUGAAUUAAAUUGUGAAUUGUUAAGAGAAUUCAAGUGCCAUCCUAUGGUUAGCUUUUAGUGACAUUUUUAAUAAAGCUGUUAGUUUAAAGUUUUGUUAUGAAAUUGUACACAGAUUGUGAAUUGUUAUGAGAUAUUUAGUGUCUGAACCAUGACAAGUUAUUAGUGAGAAGGUUUCUAAUGAAACAAUACAUUAGAUUGUGAAAUGUUAUAACAACUUUUCUGCAAGACCUAUGACUAGCUAUGAGUGAAAAGAUUUCAUAUGAAAUUGUACACAUUAGAUUUUGAAUUGUAAGAACAACUUUUGUGCCAGAUAUAUUAUUAGCUAUUAGUAAGAUUUAUAGUGAAAUGGCACACAUUAAUUUGUGAAUUGUUAAACAGAACUUUGGUGCAAGACCAAUGCCUGUAUAUAAGUGUUAAGAUUUUUAUGAAAGUGUACACAUUAGUUCUUUAACUGUUUAGAUAUUUUGUGUGAGAGGAGAAUGUUUAUAAAUGAUUAUGAGAUAGUUGUACACAUUUUAUUGUGAUAUCUUAUGAGAUAUUUGGUGCCAAAUGAAAGCAAAGUACUGAUGAAACUGUACACAUUAGAUUGUGAUUUUUUAGAACUUUUGUGUUAAAUGGCCAGUGUUCUUGCAUCCAAGGUGCGAAUGUUGAUACACUAUAUUGUUUGCAGACAGUUUGAAGAAAAUGAAAACUGCUUUAUUCUGUCUGUCAGUGCUCAAACUUGUGGCUCAAAUUACUACUGUUGUUUUUUGAAUAUCUUAACUGGUAAAGUAUUUCUAAGCAUGAAGUGCAGAUUUUCAAGACGCACUUUCCAUGUGCUCUGAUUCACAGAGGACAGAGUUAUGGACAAAUAAUUACAACUUCUGUCACUCUCAUAUGAAUGCUGCAUUCUGAUUGGAUAAUUUGUUUAUGUGACCGGUUUUUCAUUUUCCUAUGAACCCACUUUGUAUGCAAAUUUAAACAUGAAUCAUAGAGAUACUUUCUGGUCAUAAACAAGUUGUCAAAAUGACGUUAUGAUUUGCGCGAAACUUAAUGGCGUUGUUUUUUUAUUGGUCGAUAGCGAAAUGACGUUAUAUUUUUUCGCGAACUUCAAACAUAUAUACCCAUUUGACGGAGAUGAAACCGAAACUGAAAAUAGUUAUUCAUAGGCUAGAUUGAAAAGAACUUUUAUGACCCUUACCACGAUAGAAUUUCAGCUUAAAGAUCAUUUUUGUUGUAAUUAAGCCAGCGUUUAUGCAAAUUAGGCAUAACUUUCCCGAAAGUUCAUACACUGAUGAAAUGCAGAAAAAUGCUUUUCAAUUCUUAAGUAAAUUUUGACAUAAUUUAGGUCUUUUCCCCACCUAAUGGGAACUUAUUGGAGCAAGCUUCUGUUUUUUAAGUGACUAAUUUUAUAACUCGUCAUAAGCAUGCAGUUAAGAUAUGCAAGACACAAUUUUCAUUUGAAUUUAUUGACAUAUCCCUAACUUCUGCUCGUAUUCCUCACUGAGUCAGUCAAUUUCAUCCCAGUCAAAACUGUCUCUCGGGUAUUUUUAGUGACUGGUGUCAAAGCUUUAGCUGAAGUAUCAAUAGAUAUGCAAAUGAGCCUAAAAUGUCACUUAAAUUCUGCUUUGAUUUGCCUUUUCUGGAAAGUGCUGUAUUUUUAUUUGAUAUUGCAAUGUUUAAUGCCUUCUGAUGCUUGUUUUUUAUAUUUUGUUAGCUCACCUGAGCACAUUGUUCAAAGGUAAAAAAUGGCCAUAAAUGAGCUUGUUCGGGCCAUUACUAUGUCAUUCAUUGUGAUAUUUUAGAAUCAUCUGGCACAUUUGUUCACCAUUAUUGGACGUUGUGUCGCGCGAAAGAAUUACGUCAAUAACUCCAAGGUCAAGGUCACACUGGCCAUAAAGGAACUUGUCCAGGCCAUAACUAUGUCUUUUAUUGUGGGAUUUUAAAAUCAUUUGGCACAUUUGUUUACAAUCAUUGGACGGUGUGUCAUGCGAAAGAAUAAUGUCGAUGUCUGCAACGUCAAGGUUACACUUGAGUUCAAAGGUCAAAAAUGGCCAUAAACUUGUCCGGGCCAUAACUAUGUCAUUCAUUGUGAGAUUUAAAUUACUCUGUACAUUUGUUCACAAUCAUUAGACGGUGUGUCGCGCGAAAGAAUUACGUCAAUAACUCCAAGGUCAAAUUUACACUUUGAGUUCAAAGGUCAAAAAUGGUCAUAAAUGAGCUUGUGCGGGCCAUAACUAUGUCAUUCAUUGUGAAAUUUUAAAAUCAUAUGGCCUAUUUGUUCACCAUUAUUGGAAGGUGUUUUUUGCGAAAGAAUAAUGUCGAUACCUGCAACGUCAAGGUCACACUUUGAGUUUCAAGGUCAAAAAUGGCCAUAAAUGAUCUUAUCUGGGCCAUAACUAUCAUUCAUUGUGAGAUUUUAAAAUUACUCGGUACAUUUGUUCACAAUCAUUAGACGGUGUGUCGCGCGAAAAAAUAACGUGAAUUACUCCCAGGUCAAAGUUACACUUUGAGUUCAAAGGUCAAAAAGGGCCAUAAAUGAGCUUGUCCGGGCCGUAACUAUGUCAUUCAUUGUUAGAUUUUAAAAUCAUUUGGCCUAUUUGUUCACCAUAAUUGGAAGGUGUGUCAUGCGCAAGAAUGACGUCUAUAUCUCCAAGGUCAAGGUCACACUUUGAGUUCGAAGAUAAAAAAUGGCCAUAAAUGAGCUUGUCCGGGUCAUAAUAUGUCAUUCAUUGUGAGAUUUUAAAAUCAUUUGGCACAUUUGUUCACAAUCAUUGGAUGGUGUGUCAUGCGAAAGAAUUAUGUCGAUAUCUGCAAGAUCACACUGUGAGUUCAAAGGUCAAAAAUGGCCAUAAAUGAUAUUGUCUGGGCCAUAACUAUGUCAUUCAUUGUGAGAUUUUAAAAUUAUUCUGUACAUUUGUUCACAAUCAUUAGACAGUGUGUCAUGCGAAAGAAUUACGUCGAUAUCUCCAAGGUCAAGGUCACACUUGGAGUUCAAAAGUAAAAAAUGGCCAUAAAUGAGCUUGUCCGGGUCAUAACUAUGUCAAUCAUUGUGAGAUUUUAAAAUUUCUCGGUACACGUCUUUGACAAAGUUUAAUUAUAAAUAAAAAAAAUUAAACCUGGUUUUGUGAUAAUUUUGUCCCUUGUUUAAUUUUAGUCAACAAAUAAAUGGAAUUUCAUAAGUGUAUUUCAACAUUACCUUUUUUGCCUAGUAUUGUUAUUUUAUACCAUGUUCAUCUUAUGUCUACUUUUAAAUGUGUCUUAAUGUCUCGCAAUAAAAUUGUACAUAUUUUCAUGUUUGUCGUCAUUUAAAUAAUAAAACAUCAUUCAGUACUC
This is a long non-coding RNA of Dreissena polymorpha, 3338 nucleotides long. RefSeq lists it as uncharacterized. The record is from RefSeq and is a predicted model, not a curated record. The transcript has 2 exons. NCBI's taxonomy places the organism in Eukaryota, Metazoa, Mollusca, Bivalvia, Myida, Dreissenidae.